CCAUAUCCUUUCACCAGUUCACGACUCAAUAUGAUAUUAUUAGUAAUAUUCCUUCCUGGCACAAAGGCAGAUUCUCAACUAUCCACAAGCAAAUUGUCACUUUAUGCAGUCUCUUACUUAGGAUAAUUUUGAAAUGAUUUUAUCCAGUAAGGUACAACAAGAAAUAGGUCUAAAAUCAGUGAUUUUAGCGGAUGAUGUACCAGCUUUGAGACAAGGUUGACAAUGGUGUAGUUUAUGGAUUUGUACCUCGGUGUAGCAGAGUAAAAGAACUCCAACAAGAGAUAUGUUUAAACCCGGGUGAUAAAGGAAGAAAAAAAUAUGCUACAAGCUGAAGAGGAUGAAAGCUAAGCUACUUGAAAUUUUCUCUUACACCUUUGUGUUACUAUAUUGUAAGCCAGAACAGAACUUUUUAUUAAUACACAUAUAUAUACAAACGACAACAACACAACAACAUAACCAGUGAAAUCCCACAAUGUGGGAUCUGAGGAGGGUAAAAUGUA
Long non-coding RNA from Lycium ferocissimum, 500 nucleotides. RefSeq lists it as uncharacterized. The transcript has 2 exons. The record is from RefSeq and is a predicted model, not a curated record. Lineage: Eukaryota; Viridiplantae; Streptophyta; Magnoliopsida; Solanales; Solanaceae.